GAAAUGCGAUAAGUAGUGUGAAUUGCAGAAUUCAGCGAAUCAUCGAAUCUUUGAACGCACAUUGCGCCCUUUGGUAUUCCAAAGGGCAUGCCUGUUCGAGCGUCAUUUGUACCCUCAAGCUUUGCUUGGUGUUGGGCGUCUUGUCUCUAGCUUUGCUGGAGACUCGCCUUAAAGUAAUUGGCAGCCGGCCUACUGGUUUCGGAGCGCAGCACAAGUCGCACUCUCUAUCAGCAAAGGUCUAGCAUCCAUUAAGCCCUUUUUUCAACUUUUGACCUCGGAUCAGGUAGGGAUACCCGCUGAACUUAAGC
Molecule: unclassified non-coding RNA, 308 nt
Filed under: plant metagenome
Description: partial contains 5.8S ribosomal RNA, internal transcribed spacer 2, and large subunit ribosomal RNA
Rfam family: 5.8S ribosomal RNA (bases 1-105)
Source: RNAcentral